ACCUUAUAACAAAAACGUCAAAGUUUAACUUAUCCUGCCAUAAAUCCCCAAAUUUCUACUUAACCCUUCACCACCACCGAAUAAUUCUAUAUAUAUAUAGAACUUUUUAUGUUAAGACUAGUAGCAAGAACUCAAUUUUCUCUUACAGUUUAAACAUAAGUUAGAUCGGACAUACCACUACCACUUAAUAGUUAUAUUUCAUGUAGUAACACUACUAGAAAAUUCUACAUUUUUCCCUAUUAACCUUACACAAGCAAAACUCAAGAAAGAUUAAAAAAGAAAGAAGGAACUCGGCAAACUUCGAUUCCGCCUGUUUACCAAAAACAUCGCCUCCUGCUCUGUAUAGGAGGUCCUGUCUGCCCAGUGACUCUGUUCAACGGCCACGGUAUCCUAACCGUGCAAAGGUAGCGUAAUCACCUGUUUUUUAAAUAAAGACCUGUAUGAAAGACCCCACGAGAAUCGCACUGUCUCCUUUCCCCAAUCAGCGAAACUAAUCUCCUCGUGAAAAAGCGAGAAUUCUAAUACAAGACGAGAAGACCCUGUGGAGCUUUAAAUGAACACAUCAACUAUAUUAUUAACCUUAUUUUCAUGAUGUUAAUUUUUGGCUGGGGCGACCUUAGAGCAUAAAAAAACCUCCUAGAUGACACGGAGUCACUCCUAAACACAAAACCACAAUUUUACGUAUCAACAAACUGACAGUAUUGACCCUCAUAGAUCAACGAAACAAGUUAC
RNAcentral lists this ribosomal RNA (732 nucleotides) under Phyzelaphryne sp. 1b AF-2012. Its description in RNAcentral is "partial 16S ribosomal RNA". The stretch from base 268 to 515 matches the Rfam family "Archaeal large subunit ribosomal RNA", at positions 1787 to 2143 of the family's 2987-position model. Lineage: Eukaryota; Metazoa; Chordata; Amphibia; Anura; Eleutherodactylidae. The record is from RNAcentral.